Molecule: small RNA, 744 nt
Filed under: Pongo abelii (Sumatran orangutan)
Lineage: Eukaryota; Metazoa; Chordata; Mammalia; Primates; Hominidae
Description: processed transcript
Source: RNAcentral
GUCUCUGGAGUAGUUGUUUGCUGCCCACCAGAGGCAGCUUCUGAAAUCGUGAUGGACGCUCUCCGAGCAGCUACGCGCCGGGCUGGCUGAGGUGAUGUCUGCACCGGUGCCCACGUGUCUCAGGGGGAAUGGGCUUGCCUGCUUCGUUUCCUGACUCCUCUCCUAGGCGCUUUGAUCCGGCUUUCCAGUUCUUGCACAAGCAAGUUUGUGUCAGCCACGCCCUGGGGAGGAUCCACCGGAUCACCGCAGUCAGCAGCCUGUUCCCAGCGGCCUCUCUGGCUUCCCUAAAGAGGGCAGCUUCCCUCCAGACCAGAAGCCAGAGCUCACUCUCCCUUGUGUCCAGGUGGGAUUUUCUACAACGCUGCUGUGCACGACGUGGAUGCCGUAUGCAUGUUGCUGGGGAAGCCACUCCGGACACUGUGUUUUUUCUGGGACGUGGCUUCUGCCCAGAUAUGGCCGCCUUAAAAGAUGCAGACGCUGUUGGGAUCAGCAUGAAGUUUCCCUGUGAGGCUGUGGUCAGCAUGGACGUCAGCCAGCACUGCACAGACAGCUGCGACCAGGACGUCAGCCAGCACUGCGCAGACAGCUGCGACCAGGACGUCAGCCAGCACUGCGCAGACAGCUGCGACCAGGACGUCAGCCAGCACUGCGCAGACAGCUGCGACCAGAGACUGGAGGGAAAGAACCUCCUGAAAUCACCAAAGAGCAGUUCCUCAGGGCCUUCUGGGUGGCCGUGGCCGCGGA